UUUAAAACAUGUAAUCUAAAAUAAUUAAUAUUAAUAAAAUUAUACUAUUGAUUCAAUUAAUAAUAUAAAUUUGAGGCCUAAAAAAAUGUGAGACUCGUCCCCAUGAGCUUAACUCAGUUGGUAGGAACAUCACACAAUAUGUGCAGAAGCCGAGGUUUGAACUUUGGACACUCUACUUAUUCACCUUUAAGGUAAACUUUUUAGCCACUAAACUACUUGACAAAAGAAAAAUGUGAGGCUCAAAUUGUCUCAGUUGCCUCUCCUUGGAGCGACCGUAAAUGUGUUGAGACACGUGUGUUAAAAAAUGUGUUUUUAUUUUUAACAUUUUUUAUGACUUAUUUUUUAACAUUGCUCUAUUUGAAAUUUAACUUUUUAAAGUUGCUUAUUGGACAAUAAUAUAAUAUAAAUAAUAUUUCGAUAAACAUAAUUCAAAUGGUAAAAACAUUGCUAUAUGUAGGAUGUAGGAUUAUUGGUCGAAAUUCAAAUCUCAAACUCUUCACUUAUUCACUUUAAAAAUAAAUUUUUUAGGGUUAAGUUACUUAAAAAAUAAAUAAAUAUAAAUGAUUAUUAAUUGCAUGUCUGUCACUCCACAGCACAAAAAGGGUUUAACUUAUACCAGUAAUCAAUCAAUCAUUUGGAGGUAUUAAAACCAAAAAGGGUGGAAGAAAAUUAGAACCGCUGGAUUUUCUGUCAUCUCCGCCUCUGGAUGAAGCUGAUUGACACACAGUAACUCCACAAACAAAUAAGACAGAGGAACGAAACCUGCAACCACCACAACUCCUCCCUCCCUCCCAAUAAGAAUUCAUUCUCAUUUCGAUUUCUUGUGGUUGUAGCCACCACCACCUAUUUGGCUGCUUCCACCGAGAUCACUCCACCAUAGAUAGAAUAAUUAUGGGUACUGAUUCCAAUGGAUGGAACCGUGCUCGAGGAUUAGCAGUCAAGGCUCUCUUACUCAUCGGNNN
RNAcentral lists this long non-coding RNA (962 nucleotides) under Trifolium pratense (red clover). RNAcentral describes it as "long non-coding RNA (TPRA_LNC008583)". Lineage: Eukaryota; Viridiplantae; Streptophyta; Magnoliopsida; Fabales; Fabaceae. The record is from RNAcentral.